RNAcentral lists this unclassified non-coding RNA (1411 nucleotides) under Hevea brasiliensis (rubber tree). Lineage: Eukaryota; Viridiplantae; Streptophyta; Magnoliopsida; Malpighiales; Euphorbiaceae. The record is from RNAcentral.
GAUAAAGGCUUAGUUGAGUUGACUCCAGAAAUGCAUUAUAUUCAAUUUAUUCAAAAUCUAGUGCUCUAUGAAAUUCCCAAUAAAAUCAAAUGCCAUGUUUCUCAAAAGAAAAAAAAAUCACAUGCCAUGGAUACAUCUGGAAACACUUAGAAAAAAAAAAGUAGAAAAAGAUUACAAAAUCUUACAAAAAAUGAGAGUGAAACCCUGUAGAAAGAUGUACAAAAGCAAAUAAUCAAAUGAGGAACCACUCAGUAGCACAAGUAGAAAUCAGGAGAAACAACAUUAUUUGAAACAUAUUUACCCAGUAGCAAGUCAAUAGAAAAAUAUAGACGACACAUGAUAUUGAAAUUUAAAUAGAAUGAGCUCAGAAGACAAGCAUAGAAAGUUUAUUUCACAGAGAGACCCUACGUGAGAGUUCUUACAUCGUAAGAGCUCAUCACAGCAAAGGAUCCCAAUAAUAUUCACCCACAUUACCAAUAAUAUUCACCCACAUUUGACUUAGGAAAUCCAUUUAUUUGAAAUAUACAAUCUAACGUUUUAUACAAAGUUUCAUUAUAAUAGAUUAAAUAGAUAUAUUUAAAAACAUGUUGUUUCAAUACUGAAAAGCACGAGGAAACAGCAAGUGAUUUUGUCACACAAAAGUACGCAUUCAUUUGCCAGCUGAAUGAGAGAGAAUUCAUGUCUAUAAAAUCAAAUAACCAAAUCCAUUUGAAGAAUUUACCGAACAUUCAUAACUUUUCAAUCACCUAAAUAAUCAAGGCACCGUAAAAUGAUAAUCCAGGAAAGAACACUUAAAUAAAAACAAAUGAGAUUAGCAAAUACAACUAAAUUACCUGGUUUUCCACAGCCUUGGUCAUUCGGCGGAACUCCUUCUUCAUGACAGACUUGUGAAGCAAAGCCGCAGGUUUGUUUUGUUUCUUUGUCUUAGUUGUAGCAAGAACCACAGAUUGGUCUUUUCCUGGCUGAAUGCUGACUGUUUUCUUAUUUGCCAACCCUAUUUAACCCACAUCAAAAUCAUCAUCUAAAUUCCCCAUUGUCACACACCAAUAAAGAAACACAAGCCAAAGUAUCAUAGAAACGAAAGGAAGUUUCUUUUGCUCGUAUCACCAUGAAAACAAAGCAAGGACAACCCACCUUCCCCGAUUCUUAUGGGAUCACAGUAGACUAAAGAGGAGCAAUCUAGCAAAAUGAAGAAAGCAUGAGAUGAGUACCAGAGUGCUUGAAGGAGUUGAGAUUGUAGAGAUUGUUAGACUCCUUGCUAAACUGAACGCUUGCGGAUCCUCUGCCGAACUGUUUCACCAAAAAUGAGUUGUUCUUCUUCACUAUCUCCCAUAUCAACUGACCAGGUACCGUCGCCAUCGCUAUCCUCCUUUCCUGCUUGGGCUCUUUAGCUUGGUGGCCACAAGUGUUG